GGAGUUCGAACUGUGCAGGGGAAACAGUUGAUUUUUCAACAUGUAUUGAGUCGACGUGUUACAAACAAUGUUCAAAUUAAAAAUAGUCCACGGAUGAUUCAUUUUGACUUCCUUUUUCUUUUAUGUUUUAAAACAGGCAUCGUGAUCCCAUGUUUUAUUGACAAAAGGCAAGUUAAUCACGCUUAAACAUUGAUUAUUAACAUCGUCCUUAUCGUCCUUAAUUGAGAACUGAGAAUUGAUUUUGACUAGAUUGUUGCAUUUGCAUAUGAAUACUUGCACUUGAAUCUAGAGAAGAGGGUUUGGUUUUUCAUCAUUCAAAACACGGUAGCGGCUUUGGGAUAAACCAUGGGAGGUUGAUCACCAACGUUUGAACAUAUGUCUUUGAACUAAAAGGACAUUUGUCACGCGAUGAAGUCUGUUCCUUCACGUUUGAGAUGACGUACCUUGCUGCUUUGAUUAGGACUUUGCUUCUCUAAAGAUAUUUUCUGGCUUGUGUAGCCUAUGCGAAGCAAGCCCGGUCCAUAGCCUUCUUUCUUUAUUCUUUAUCGCCUGGUCUUUCUUUCGUAUGGGACGUGGGAUCUUUCUUUCCGAAAUCCAUUUACCUUGCUAGCCUAAGGCUUAAGAGUUAUCCCUUCUAACAAAAAUGAAACCCGGAAAAGUAGUCAACCAUUGUUGGAACUUGAAAAUCGCCUUGAGCCUUAGGCUCUAACUUGAUGUUAACUGAAUUUUUAGUUUAGAUAUAUAUUAAUUCUUAAGGGCACUUUCAUUGAAAGCUACUGCAAAAUCAAGCUUUUCCAAGAAUUUCAAUCCAGACAAAUUAUGCUAAACAAAUGGAUUUUGGUUUGUUUUGAUGUCAUCUCCAUUUUUUGCUUUCAAUUAUUGAAAGAAUAAUUAUAAACACCCUAUUUGGUUCAUGUUCAAAGUAAUUGGAGCAUGGUUCAAUAAGAUCCAAAUAGUUAAGCCCAAGUAUAUAUUAUUUUAUGUUU
RNAcentral lists this long non-coding RNA (986 nucleotides) under Durio zibethinus. RNAcentral's name for it is "long non-coding RNA (DZIB_LNC000498)". Lineage: Eukaryota; Viridiplantae; Streptophyta; Magnoliopsida; Malvales; Malvaceae. The record is from RNAcentral.